This 206-nucleotide ribosomal RNA is filed under the name Klebsiella pneumoniae. Its description in RNAcentral is "partial 23S ribosomal RNA". It matches the Rfam family "Bacterial large subunit ribosomal RNA", at positions 2113 to 2315 of the family's 2925-position model. Lineage: Bacteria; Pseudomonadati; Pseudomonadota; Gammaproteobacteria; Enterobacterales; Enterobacteriaceae. The record is from RNAcentral.
GAUAGCGGACAACAUUGAGCCUUGAUGUGUAGGAUAGGUGGGAGGCUUUGAAGCGUGGACGCCAGUCUGCGUGGAGCCAACCUUGAAAUACCACCCUUUAAUGUUUGAUGUUCUAACGUUGGCCCCUUACCGGGGUUGCGGACAGUGUCUGGUGGGUAGUUUGACUGGGGCGGUCUCCUCCCAAAGCGUAACGGAGGAGCACGAAG